Molecule: long non-coding RNA, 159 nt
Organism: Bradysia coprophila
Lineage: Eukaryota; Metazoa; Arthropoda; Insecta; Diptera; Sciaridae
Source: RefSeq, a predicted model, not a curated record
AAGAAAACCAAAUGAUCAUGCCAGAGGAAUCAUCUGUCAUCCCAAAAUCUAGGAACCAACCUAGUGAAAGUUUAUACUUAAUGAUUCCCGAUAAUUCCAACAAGAAUCACAUCUUAAAACAACACACACCUUUCACCACAUUACAAUCCAUAUCAUGCA